CUGUGUGCCGUGCCUAACCUAGAAAGGUAGUCAUCUCUUAGACUUACUGGUAGUGACUACCAGCCUGGGUUGAGCAAGGCUCACCGA
Molecule: non-coding RNA, 87 nt
Organism: Ailuropoda melanoleuca (giant panda)
Lineage: Eukaryota; Metazoa; Chordata; Mammalia; Carnivora; Ursidae
Source: Rfam